GUGGGGAAUAUUGGACAAUGGGCGAAAGCCUGAUCCAGCAAUGCCGCGUGAGUGAUGAAGGCCUUAGGGUUGUAAAGCUCUUUUACCCGGGAUGAUAAUGACAGUACCGGGAGAAUAAGCCCCGGCUAACUCCGUGCCAGCAGCCGCGGUAAUACGGAGGGGGCUAGCGUUGUUCGGAAUUACUGGGCGUAAAGCGCACGUAGGCGGCCUUGUAAGUCAGGGGUGAAAUCCCGGGGCUCAACCCCGGAACUGCCCUUGAGACUGCAAAGCUUGAAUCCAGGAGAGGUGAGUGGAAUUCCGAGUGUAGAGGUGAAAUUCGUAGAUAUUCGGAAGAACACCAGUGGCGAAGGCGGCUCACUGGACUGGUAUUGACGCUGAGGUGCGAAAGCGUGGGGAGCAAACAGG
This 405-nucleotide ribosomal RNA is filed under the name uncultured Sphingomonadaceae bacterium. RNAcentral describes it as "bacterial SSU rRNA". It matches the Rfam family "Bacterial small subunit ribosomal RNA", at positions 354 to 776 of the family's 1533-position model. The record is from RNAcentral. Lineage: Bacteria; Pseudomonadati; Pseudomonadota; Alphaproteobacteria; Sphingomonadales; Sphingomonadaceae.